RNAcentral lists this ribosomal RNA (415 nucleotides) under uncultured bacterium. RNAcentral's name for it is "bacterial SSU rRNA". It matches the Rfam family "Bacterial small subunit ribosomal RNA", at positions 355 to 776 of the family's 1533-position model. The record is from RNAcentral.
UCGAGAAUCUUUCACAAUGGGCGAAAGCCUGAUGGAGCGACGCCGCGUGGAGGUUAAGGUCUUCGGAUUGUAAACUCCUGUCAUGCGAGAACAAAGCCCGCAAGGGUGUGAUAGUACCGCAAGAGGAAGAGACGGCUAACUCUGUGCCAGCAGCCGCGGUAAUACAGAGGUCUCAAGCGUUGUUCGGAAUUACUGGGCGUAAAGGGUGCGCAGGCCGCGCGGGCAGUCAAAUGUGAAAUCCAGAGGCUCAACCUCUGAAUUGCGCUUGAUACUUCCGUGCUAGAACUUUGGAGAGGGAUCUGGAAUUCUCGGUGUAGCAGUGAAAUGCGUGGAUAUCGAGAAGAACACUCAGGGCGAAGGCAAGAUCCUGGACAAAUGUUGACGCUCAUGCACGAAGGCUAGGGUAGCGAACGGG